AAGUCGUAACAAGGUUUCCGUAGGUGAACCUGCGGAAGGUUCAUUAAUGAUUGGCCUGAUGGCCUUAUCGAAUAUCCAACACCUCUGUGAACCGUUUUGACCCUCGGGUCUUUUUUACAUGCAAACAUUUGUGUAACGAACGUCUUGUUAUCUUAACAAAACAAAACUUUCAACAACGGAUCUCUUGGCUCUC
This 193-nucleotide unclassified non-coding RNA is filed under the name fungal sp. RNAcentral describes it as "partial internal transcribed spacer region". The stretch from base 1 to 46 matches the Rfam family "Eukaryotic small subunit ribosomal RNA", at positions 1786 to 1831 of the family's 1831-position model. The record is from RNAcentral. Lineage: Eukaryota; Fungi.